UUCCGGUUGAUCCCGCCAGACCUGACUGCUAUCGGAUUGAUACUAAGCCAUGCGAGUCGUUGUAGCAAUACAAGGCAUACGGCUCAGUAACGCGUAGUCAACCUAACCUAUGGACGGGAAUAACCUCGGGAAACUGAGAAUAAUGCCCGAUAGAACAUUAUGCCUGGAAUGGUUUAUGUUCCAAAUGAUUUAUCGCCAUAGGAUGGGACUGCGGCCUAUCAGUUUGUUGGUGAGGUAAUGGCCCACCAAGACUAUUACAGGUACGGGCUCUGAGAGGAGUAGCCCGGAGAUGGGUACUGAGACACGGACCCAGGCCCUAUGGGGCGCAGCAGGCGAGAAAACUUUGCAAUGUGCGAAAGCACGACAAGGUUAAUCCGAGUGAUUUCUGCUAAAGAGAUCUUUUGUUAGUCCUAGAAACACUAACGAAUAAGGGGUGGGCAAGUUCUGGUGUCAGCCGCCGCGGUAAAACCAGCACCUCAAGUGGUCAGGAUGAUUAUUGGGCCUAAAGCAUCCGUAGCCGGCUCUGUAAGUUUUCGGUUAAAUCUGUACGCUCAACGUACAGGCUGCCGGGAAUACUGCAGAACUAGGGAGUGGGAGAGGUAGGCGGUACUCGGUAGGAAGUGGUAAAAUGCUUUGAUCUAUCGAUGACCACCUGUGGCGAAGGCGGUCUACCAGAACACGUCCGACGGUGAGGGAUGAAAGCUGGGGGAGCAAACCGGAUUAGAUACCCGGGUAGUCCCAGCUGUAAACUAUGCAAACUCAGUGAUGCAUUGGCUUGUGGCCAAUGCAGUGCUGCAGGGAAGCCGUUAAGUUUGCCGCCUGGGAAGUACGUACGCAAGUAUGAAACUUAAAGGAAUUGGCGGGGGAGCACCACAAGGGGUGAAGCCUGCGGUUCAA
RNAcentral lists this ribosomal RNA (897 nucleotides) under uncultured archaeon. RNAcentral describes it as "bacterial SSU rRNA". It matches the Rfam family "Archaeal small subunit ribosomal RNA", at positions 1 to 905 of the family's 1478-position model. The record is from RNAcentral.